RNAcentral lists this ribosomal RNA (493 nucleotides) under uncultured bacterium. Its description in RNAcentral is "partial 16S ribosomal RNA". It matches the Rfam family "Bacterial small subunit ribosomal RNA", at positions 30 to 523 of the family's 1533-position model. The record is from RNAcentral.
AUUGAACGCUGGCGGCAUGCUUUACACAUGCAAGUCGAACGGUAACAGGUUAAGCUGACGAGUGGCGAACGGGUGAGUAAUGCAUCGGAACGUGCCCGGUCGUGGGGGAUAACGCAGCGAAAGCUGCGCUAAUACCGCAUACGAUCUGAGGAUGAAAGCGGGGGACCGUAAGGCCUCGCGCGAUAGGAGCGGCCGAUGUCAGAUUAGGUAGUUGGUGGGGUAAAGGCUCACCAAGCCAACGAUCUGUAGCUGGUCUGAGAGGACGACCAGCCACACUGGAACUGAGACACGACCCAGACUCCUACGGGAGGCAGCAGUGGGGAAUUUUGGACAAUGGGCGAAAGCCUGAUUCAGCAAUGCCGCGUGCAGGAAGAAGGCCUUCGGGUUGUAAACUGCUUUUGUACGGAGCGAAAAGGUCUCCUCUAAUACAGGGGGCUCAUGACGGUACCGUAAGAAUAAGCACCGGCUAACUACGUGCCAGCCGCCGCCGUAA